AAACAUUUUUGAUCAUGUAAUAAAAGGGAUACCUCAUACAUAAUGUCAAGCACAAUAUCUAAACCUCAAUAUCAUUACAUGACUGAAACUUAUACUUUUACAUAACAUUAAUACAUUUAUCAUGUCCACACUAUCUAUUACAUAAACCAGACUUCAAUACUCUUAUGGAUCUCCUGGUCUACCCUGUACCUGCAAUCUUGGGGAAAAGGGAGAGGGAUGAGCUACUAGAGCCCAGUGAGCAGAAUAAUGAAAACAUUUAAAUCAUAUGGAUCAUGGAAUGCAUCACAUCACAGCUAAUCACAUCAAGGAUGAACUUGUCCCCAAUAGCCCUCUACAUGGUCCAACUGUGCCAGAACGUAGAAUGGGUCCUGGUCUUUCUCUUACAUAGUGCCAGCGAACGUAGAAUGGGUCCCACUGGUCUUACUUUCCGUACCGUACAUAUCACAUCGUCAUAUCAUAGAUCGAGGGCUAUGGAUCAUCCAACAUUCAUC
This 491-nucleotide long non-coding RNA is filed under the name Manihot esculenta (cassava). Its description in RNAcentral is "long non-coding RNA (MESC_LNC005373)". The record is from RNAcentral. Lineage: Eukaryota; Viridiplantae; Streptophyta; Magnoliopsida; Malpighiales; Euphorbiaceae.